This 460-nucleotide ribosomal RNA is filed under the name uncultured bacterium. RNAcentral describes it as "partial 16S ribosomal RNA". It matches the Rfam family "Bacterial small subunit ribosomal RNA", at positions 338 to 795 of the family's 1533-position model. The record is from RNAcentral.
CCUACGGGAGGCAGCAGUGAGGAAUAUUGGUCAAUGGACGAGAGCCUGAACCAGCCAAGUAGCGUGAAGGAUGACUGCCCUAUGGGUUGUAAACUUCUUUUAUAUGGGAAUAAAGUGUUCCACGUGUACGACUUUGUAUGUACCAUAUGAAUAAGGAUCGGCUAACUCCGUGCCAGCAGCCGCGGUAAUACGGAGGGUGCGAGCGUUGUCCGGAUUUAUUGGGUUUAAAGGGAGCGUAGGCGGGUUGUUAAGUCAGGUGUGAAAGGUUGGGGCUCAACCGGAAAAUUGCAGUUGAAACUGGCAGACUGGAGUACAGGAGAGGUGAGCGGAAUUCGUGGUGUAGCAGUGAAAUGCUUAGAUAUCACGAAGAACACCGAUGGCGAAGGCAGCUCUCUGGACUGCAACUGACACUGAGGCGCGAAAGUGUGGGUAGCAAACAGGAUUAGAUACCCUGGUAGUC